Molecule: ribosomal RNA, 135 nt
Filed under: Rhizobium giardinii
Lineage: Bacteria; Pseudomonadati; Pseudomonadota; Alphaproteobacteria; Hyphomicrobiales; Rhizobiaceae
Description: partial 23S ribosomal RNA
Source: RNAcentral
GGGAAACCCACCUUAAAUGCUUAGAAAAUCCAAACUGUUCGCAAGGACGGCUUGGGUUUCUAAGCAUUGUGAUAAGGUAUCUUACCUUCGAAUACAUAGGGGUAAGAAGCGAACGCAGGGAACUGAAACUUCUAA